UAUACAUAACAUAACCUAUCAUUCGUAACAUAACUGUCCUUGUUAGGGAAGGUCCUAAGCGUUUGCCUCUCUCUCUGCAGUAAUGCCUUGCUCCCCAGCCUUUUCAUCAUUACCUGGACAUGGGUUUAGAAGUAAGUU
Molecule: long non-coding RNA, 138 nt
Organism: Juglans microcarpa x Juglans regia
Lineage: Eukaryota; Viridiplantae; Streptophyta; Magnoliopsida; Fagales; Juglandaceae
Exons: 3
Source: RefSeq, a predicted model, not a curated record